UGAUGUGAGGGCGAUCUGACUGCGACAUCUGUCACCCCAUCAAUCACUAGGGUUGAUUCAGCUGAUCUGGCUGGCCAGGCGGGUGUCCCCUUCCUCCCUCACCGCUCCAUGUGCGUCUCUCCUGAAGAGGAUGGAUUUCCCUGAAUAGAGAUGGACUAUUGUUUGGUUCAGGGUAUAGGAGUAGCUGUGCUUCCCUUCUAGAGCAUACACACAAGCUCUCCAAAAGUAUACUUCAGUGUUUUUUUUAUUCUCU
This 253-nucleotide small nuclear RNA is filed under the name Erinaceus europaeus (western European hedgehog). RNAcentral's name for it is "7SK RNA". It matches the Rfam family "7SK RNA", at positions 1 to 292 of the family's 331-position model. From Rfam's summary of the family: 7SK was discovered as an abundant small nuclear RNA in the mid-70s but a possible function has only recently been suggested. Two independent studies have found that 7SK RNA binds the CDK9/cyclin T complex (known as elongation factor P-TEFb). The record is from Rfam by way of RNAcentral. Lineage: Eukaryota; Metazoa; Chordata; Mammalia; Eulipotyphla; Erinaceidae.